AGCCCAUGAUGAGGGCACAACCUUAACAUUUCCUUAAAUUUCUCUCAUGCCUUGUAGAGAUUUCUGCCCUUCUGAGUAAAACUUAUGAUUUCUCAGUUGGGUU
Molecule: small nucleolar RNA, 103 nt
Organism: Lathyrus oleraceus (garden pea)
Lineage: Eukaryota; Viridiplantae; Streptophyta; Magnoliopsida; Fabales; Fabaceae
Source: RefSeq, a predicted model, not a curated record